AACAUCAAAUGCUUCCAGUGACAAAGCGGAAAGCAAGAGAACUCUAGAUAUAUUUCCGGUCAGAUUCUUCCUGCAACAAUUAGUAGUUUCCGGUCACGAGAGCCGAACAUCAAAUGCUUCCAGUGACAAAGCGGAAAGCAAGAGAACUCUAGAUAUAUUUCCGGUCAGAUUCUUCCUGCAACAAUUAGUAGUUUCCGGUCAGGGAUGCACAGAUUUCCGGUUGCACAGAUUGGUCUAUUAAUAAUUUUCCAGUCACAGUUACACUUUUCCGGUUGCGGGUGAAGAUUUUCCGGUUGCGGUCGCAUGGAUCAGAAUUGUCGCUCGGAUGGGAUCAGUGCGCUAAAUAACUAUGCUAAAUAGCACGCCCCUAUAUACCCACCCUGUUCCAGUCAACCCCUCGCCUCCCUCCAACCAAACCACCCCCCACCCCUCCUCUCCUGAUCCAAAUCAACGCGGCAUCCGCGAGCAGCGAGAGCGCGACAGCCACUAACCGGAUGAGCGCGGCGGCGGCGACCAGUAGCAUGGCGCGGCGGCUGCAGCGGCGUCGAGCGAUGUGGUGCGGAGGCCAAGGCUGCGGCGGCGUCGAGCGGCGUGGUGCGGCGGCGUCGAGCGGAGCGUGGAGGCUGCGCGGCGUCCAUCGGCGUGGCGCUGACCAUCUGCUGUUGAUCGUGCAUAAGCAGGAGCAGAGGGAGAAGCAGAGCCAAAUCCAUGUUGUCCAACCUCGGCACUAGCACUUGAUUGCUCAAAGCUUGGCACUGUGUAUGUUGGGUUUUCCACUAUAUUCGGUAAUGCAGUAAUACACCCUGCUACUUUGUCAGUUUUAAAUAUUUGGUAUUUCAGUAAUCCUGUAUCAAAAUAAUUCAUUGAUCCAAUAAUCAUGUAAUCCACACGAAUCUCAGUAAUUUCAAAUGUUCAUUAGUAUUUUUUUGGAUGACACACGAGUGAUUUCAGUAGUACAUUUUUUUUAGCUUAUGCUUUUCCUUUGAACAAGCAACAAUAUCCCUGCCCAUUUAUUCCAUAUCCUAUUCAUCUUAAUGGAGACACUGACAACUCCUGCAUAUGCUAUUUUAGAAUUCAUAUGCACUAUCCAAUGUCUUGAAGUGCAUCCAGUUCAUAUUCCAGUGUUCAGCUCUUCAACUACUGAUAUUGCACAUUUAGUACAAUGCCUUUCUCAGUAAUUAUGUUCAGUAAUCCAGCAGAUUCGAUUCAGUAGUCGAUCCAAUGUAUGUAGUAAUUUAUCUUUGUUUUGUAAUCUUUGUUAUAUAAUUCUGAAAUAAUUGCUGAACCAAUACAAUUUAGUUGUUCCAAGCAAGAGUAAAUAUUGUGCUUUAGUAGUUCGAGCUAUAGCAGUACCACCCCUCUUGUAGUGUUCAGUAGUUAGCUUGUAAAAUUUCAGUAAAUUUAUUUCAGUUAUUUUUGGAUUUGAUACAUAGCUAAGCAUGUUAUUAGCAUUUUUAGUUCAGUAAUUUGUUAUUCCAAGAACAAUUGUUCUUUUUUCUGUUAAGUUUAGUCUCAGUACUAUGUUAUUUCAGUAGUAGUAUAAGUGUUAGCAUAGCUGUUGAUUACUGAGUCAGUAUAGUAGCUUGUGUUAGCAUCUACUUGGACACAAUAUAGGGCCCAACUUCUAUACUACAUGUUGUUCCACAAGCUCAACAACAGAAGACCCUUACCGGCUACGAUUUAAGAACUAGCUCCAGGGAAGCUUCACCAUGUGGACAUGUCACCAUUUUAUGAUUCGUCGCCAUCAUUCCCACUACUGCGAUAGUACUGAACUUUCACAAGGAAGAGGGCUCCAAUUGAAGAGAGACGAUGCAGAAAUGUGAUAUGUACAAAUUUAUCUGUUGUCGGUCAAUUUUUUUUGAAGACUGCAUGAGGCUAUUAUUUUGUGACAAAUAUGUAUACACAUUCAUGCCCGCCGCCAACUAUAUGUAUAUGCUUGGAUUCAGUAAUCUGAAGAAUCAGUUAUUCACCAUUAUGCACUUACAGUAAUUUCUCAA
This is a long non-coding RNA of Panicum virgatum (switchgrass), 1997 nucleotides long. RefSeq lists it as uncharacterized. The transcript is spliced from 2 exons. Lineage: Eukaryota; Viridiplantae; Streptophyta; Magnoliopsida; Poales; Poaceae. The record is from RefSeq and is a predicted model, not a curated record.